This 398-nucleotide ribosomal RNA is filed under the name uncultured bacterium. RNAcentral describes it as "partial 16S ribosomal RNA". It matches the Rfam family "Bacterial small subunit ribosomal RNA", at positions 361 to 774 of the family's 1533-position model. The record is from RNAcentral.
AUCUUCCGCAAUGGACGAACGUCUGACGGAGCAACGCCGCGUGAGUGAUGAAGGUUUUCGGAUCGUAAAACUCUGUCAUUGGGGAAGAAUAAAUGACGGUACCCAAUGAGGAAGCCCCGGCUAACUACGUGCCAGCAGCCGCGGUAAUACGUAGGUGGCAAGCGUUAUCCGGAAUUAUUGGGCGUAAAGCGCGCGCAGGUGGUUUCUUAAGUCUGAUGUGAAAGCCCACGGAUCAACCGUGGAGGGUCAUUGGAAACUGGGAGACUUGAGUGCAGAAGAGGAAAGUGGAAUUCCAUGUGUAGCGGUGAAAUGCGUAGAGAUAUGGAGGAACACCAGUGGCGAAGGCGACUCUCUGGUCUGUAACUGACGCUGAGGCGCGAAAGCGUGGGGAUCAAACA